UGAUUAGCCUGUGGCUCAGAAAUGUCCUA
RNAcentral lists this non-coding RNA (29 nucleotides) under Mus musculus (house mouse). Lineage: Eukaryota; Metazoa; Chordata; Mammalia; Rodentia; Muridae. The record is from RNAcentral.